UCCUCAUUUUCCACCUUAAGGAAAAUCAUAGGGGUUGCCUGCCCUAUCCAAUCACUGGUUUGUCCGUGUCUUUCAUUUCCACCCUGGUUCUCGGUUCCUACCUCUCCUCGGGUCCCAUCACAAAGGGGAGCCCCUUCCCUUGUGGGACCCUGCUGGUCAGGGAAGUCCAUUAAGGAAAACCCAACACUUGGCACCCCGGAUUUGGGAGCGAAAUUCCUUUGUCACAGGCAUUCAAGCACGUGCAACUUGAGGAGCGAUCACUGAGGUACGGAAUCACAAAGGCGUGACCUUGCAGGUGGCCUCUGAAGAUACCAGAAGUCCGUGGAAGAAAACUAAAAUGAUCCAGCUGAAAGACAGUCUGCCCAGAAAGUCAAUGCAGAUGUGCCUGGCACCAUCCACAACAUGGCACCAAUGCCAGACAACAGGAAAAGCAGCCAAUGAGCGGGAAAAACCAUCACUGCCCUAUAGGCAGAGAAUGAAAACACCUGGUCACCCACCAAGCACGUCAUGCCAUGAGGCACAGGACCAGGAAGAGAAGCAGACGAGUACCAUCUAUGAUGCCAGCUGAUUGCAUACCAAGCAAGCGGCAAGAAACCAUUAUUGGUGACUAUAAAAACCAAACACUGACAUUACACUACUUUUAAUGACAUUUACUAUUCCACUGAAGAACAAUUAUCAUGCUGACAUCCAUUGGUCUUUUAUAACUAAACCAAUAUCAAGCAUGUCAACUUGUAUGGACUAAACCCCACUCGUAUAUAUUUAUGACGUCAGAUGGAUCCCACACUCCAAAGACUUUAUCAUGGGAUCAAAAUUGAAACAGCUAUAAUUGUUCAAACACUAAUGUAUAUCUUUCAUUUUGGAUAUCCGUUAUAUAUGUCAAAAGGAAAUUUAUUUUGUAUGCAUUGUAAAACUCCUUGUAUUGUAAAAAAUUGAUCUAUCAACAAGGGUAUAGACAUUGGUAUGAAUCUCCAAAGGACAGGAGAUAGAAAAUUUUUCAUUCAUAACACAAACCUAGCAACCCUGACUACAAAAAUUAUGUUUAAUGCAAGAGAUGCUGAACAGGAAUGUUCAAUGCACAGAUGGUCCUGAUGUCACUCUUAAAAAAAGGGAUGAGAUAUCAGGCAAAAUGCACUUUAGAAAUUUUUAAUUAGGAACCAAGGUUAUUGAAAAUUGAUCAUCUACAUCUAUGUGUAGAUUAUAUUCCUGACAAUAACUAUGUAGACAUGUGCCAACUGCCAUUGCUGUAGUUAAAUGUUAACAUCAUUGUUGAUCACUACUCCUAAAACCCCAUCUCUAUGGAAACUCUUUCUUGCUCUCUAACACCAGUCCCAGAAUUCAGACGGCCGCUGGAUUCGGGGUCUAUUAACUUCCACUUCAGGUACUGGAAGACGUUCUGGUACAUGAAAGUAAAGCCUAGGUUGGACAAUCUCUGUGGAUGCGCAGUUGUUGAACCUCCUAGAUGGAAUAGGUUAUUACACACAUACAUGGAGCAAGGGCAAAGUAUAUACUAAGUUUCUCUUUUUUGGAGUAUGUAUUGAAAAUAGGAAAAAAUUUGGGCACUAAUAAGC
This is a long non-coding RNA of Monodelphis domestica (gray short-tailed opossum), 1568 nucleotides long. The record is from Ensembl. NCBI's taxonomy places the organism in Eukaryota, Metazoa, Chordata, Mammalia, Didelphimorphia, Didelphidae.